GGAGUAGUUGAUCAUGGCCUGAUGGAACCUCUAGCUGAACAAUAAGAUAGGUUAGUUAGUGUAGUAGAGGAAGAAAGAUGAUAUAUUUAUUAUUUGCUUUUGCUGCUUCUAUAUACACAUGUAUGUAUGUUUAGUUAUUCGACAUGCUUCUGAAAUUGACCGUGGUUUUAGACCGAAACACUAUGCUUGUUCAAAGAGUGUCCAUGUUGUGUGAUAUAUGAUGCUGCACCGUUGUGCAUCUCUCUUUUCUUGUGUGCCGCAUCAUUGUAGAUAUGCUUGAUAGAGUAAAUGAUUUCAGUUCUGGUUGUGUCAAAUCUUUACUAUGUACCAUGCUUAGUGUUUAUUUUACUGAGGCAUUGGGCAUUGGAAUUUAGGCAUUUAUGUAUAUUUUUAGUUCUGGAUGUGUCCAAUGCAAACAUUACUGUCAACUGUCAAGUUGAUUCUAAAAUGUCUUAUUAAGUUCAUUUCAAAUGGUUAUUUCUGGAUUUAGUAUGAAUUUAUUGUUGACCUGGCCUAUGCUCUGUACCAAUUUAUUGCAUUAUUUUGUUAUUUAGUGUUAAAUAUGCUGUUAUAUUUACUUUUAUUUUGUUCCUAAACAUUUUGUUCUAUAACGUGCAGAUGCUGGCCUUUCAUGUUCCUUUGCGAAUAUCAGGACAAAGAAGUCGGAGGAAGCAUAGUUCUAGCUCAUUGGAGCUAAUUCUGAGAGUAAUUUGAUGUAGCAAAACUUGGCUCAUGUGAUUGUACACUUGUAGAGCUUGUUAUCUGAUUGUAUACUUGUAGAGCUUGUUAUCUGAUUGUAAUCUUGAUGCUGAUCACAUUUGUAUGUGUGUUAUAUGAUGUAGCACUUUGAUGGUUGAUAAUAUUUGAAGUAUUUCCUGUAUUUUCUGUGUGCCAAUUUAAAUACUACGUAUUUAUUUAUGUUAAAUUAAAAAAUAAAGAAUAUGGCCCUGACAGCUAGGACCUAGUACAAGUACCUAACAAUGCGGACCCACUUGACUAGUGAACCCAUUUUAUAUAAAAAAAUGAAACUGUUGAGACAAAAAGGCCACGGCCCAAAAAUAAAAAGGCUGCAAUGUUGGGCUUGGCCCAGGAAGUCGACCAAAAAUUGACAGGAAAAAAAAUAUAUAGGAAGGCUGAAUUGUUGGGCUCGGCGCAUGUAAAACACCGAAUCGGACCGGGCUGAAUCUUAUCAACUACCUUUUCAUUUGGUCACAAUUUUGC
RNAcentral lists this long non-coding RNA (1221 nucleotides) under Triticum aestivum (bread wheat). Its description in RNAcentral is "long non-coding RNA (TAES_LNC017404)". The record is from RNAcentral. Lineage: Eukaryota; Viridiplantae; Streptophyta; Magnoliopsida; Poales; Poaceae.